This 468-nucleotide ribosomal RNA is filed under the name uncultured bacterium. Its description in RNAcentral is "partial 16S ribosomal RNA". It matches the Rfam family "Bacterial small subunit ribosomal RNA", at positions 28 to 507 of the family's 1533-position model. The record is from RNAcentral.
GACGAACGCUGGCGGCGUGCUUAACACAUGCAAGUCGAACGGACAGGCCCUGAUUUUGUGUGGUGCUCGAGUGGCGAACGGGUGAGUAACACGUGAGUAACAUGUCCUUAAAUUUGGGAUAAAUUCAGGAAACUGGGGCUCUUACCGGAUAGGAUCUUCUGCUGCACGGUGGGGGUUGGAAAGAUUCGGCGGUUGGGGCUGGAAUGGAGGCUUCUGCGCUGGUUGGUGGGGUAGUGUCUGACAAGGGGUUUGAGGGGAAGCCGGCCUGGGAGGGGGACCGGCCACAUCGGGACUGAGAUACGGCGCAGACUGGAAUCGGAGGCAGUGGUGGAGAAUAUUACACAAUAGGAGGAAGCCUGAUGUAGAAGCGCCGCGUUCGGGAUGACGUCCUUCGGGUUGUAAACCGCUUUCGCCGGAGACGAGGAGAGAGUGACGGUACUGGGUAAAGAAGCACCGGCUAACUACGUG